GGUUUAUUCAGCCAUGUGGUGGAUGGCUACUUGUCUUCUAAGCCACUUGCCUUCUGAUCGCUGGACUGACUCUCUCGCCCUCUCUUGGUGCAGCCCUCGGGAGGCUCGGUCACAAUCUCCGAGAGCACAGCCAUCAUCUCUCACGGUACCACAGGCCUGGUCACAUGGGACGCCACCCUCUGCCUUGCAGAAUGGGCCAUCGAGAACCCAGCAGCCUUCACUAACAGACGUGCUGUAUUGCCCAGAAGCCAUCGUGUCGCUGGUCGGGGUCCUGCGGAGGCUGGCUGCCUGCCAGGAGCACAAGCGGGCUCCUGAGGUCUACGUGGCCUUUACCGUCCGCAACCCAGAGACGUGCCAGCUGUUCACCACCGAGCUAGGUGAGCCCACACACCCACCCGGGCCUGCAUGGUCCCUGAGCUGUCCCUGCAGGACUCCAGUGGAAGUGAAAGAACUGGGCACCGGGGAAAAGCUAGGAUGUCCCACACUCCUACACCAUGCAGGGAACUCGGGCACAGGCCGGCUGGGCCGGGAUCAGAUGGGAAGCAGAAGCUCAUCAUGACCAGAAACUGUUUCCCUACGGAGAGCACUUGGAGAUGGCAAUGCUGAACCUCACACUGUAGGACUCACACACGACUCUAACGGGAUUGUAAGAAUCAAGUCACUCUCAUGGGAAGAAUUUUUAUAUGGGAAAGCGGCUAAAACUUUCAUUGGACUGGAAUGUUUGGAGAUUGUUAAAUUCCAAAUCAGGAACCACAAACUGCCCUCUAAUAAGAUAUCAGCUGUCUAAGCGUGUGGGUGCCGCCUUUCUGCCAGUAGUUCUGGUUCUUAAGAAAAGCACCAUAAAUCAGACAUGAAAAUUCUG
This 862-nucleotide long non-coding RNA is filed under the name Homo sapiens (human). RNAcentral describes it as "non-protein coding lnc-FAM90A1-1:10". Lineage: Eukaryota; Metazoa; Chordata; Mammalia; Primates; Hominidae. The record is from RNAcentral.